RNAcentral lists this small RNA (126 nucleotides) under Marmota monax (woodchuck). The record is from RNAcentral. Lineage: Eukaryota; Metazoa; Chordata; Mammalia; Rodentia; Sciuridae.
GCUGGGCGUGGUGGCACAAGCCUGUAAUCCCAGUGGCUUGGGAGGCUGAGGCAGGGGGAUAAUGAGUCCAAAGCCAUCCUCAGUCAAAAGUGAGGUGCUAAGCAACUGAGUGAGACCCUGUCUCUA